GGCGGGCUGCGGGCUGGGCUGGGCUGGGCUGGGCCGGGCCGGGCCCCACAGCUCCCUCGCCUUCUCCUUCGGCCCGUC
RNAcentral lists this microRNA precursor (78 nucleotides) under Pteropus vampyrus (large flying fox). Its description in RNAcentral is "miRNA (ENSPVAG00000027810.1)". The record is from RNAcentral. Lineage: Eukaryota; Metazoa; Chordata; Mammalia; Chiroptera; Pteropodidae.